This is a long non-coding RNA of Gallus gallus (chicken), 693 nucleotides long. Lineage: Eukaryota; Metazoa; Chordata; Aves; Galliformes; Phasianidae. The record is from Ensembl.
CUGCUGCAGAUUUUUAGACCUGCAUCCUCAGUACUUCAGGAAGCUGAGAAACCCAUAAGACAUUUGGAAAUGUUCCUCAGUAAUUUUUUUAUUUUAACAAAUGCAAGUGAAGAACACUUCACUAGUGGUUGGCAACCCUGGCCAUGGCAGAGUACUACUGCAGGGAGUCUGAGGAACUUAUCACAAGGAAGGCUGCAAGCAGGAUCUGAAAUGUUUUUGUCUGGAGCCUAAGUGAUGCCUGAGGCCGAAAAUACACUCGUGAUACUCCAGUCUGCUGAUCUAUCUCUGAUAAAGAAAACUGCCAUCACCACUGUGUCACAAGCCUUUUUCCUGCCAUAGAGCUCUGUUUCUAAAAAUUUAAAGGCUAUUUUAGGCUGAGGCCUUACAUCUCUUUCUUGUCAUAGGCCACAGAUACUUUAUUGAAGAUGCAAGUUAACAAUCUACCAAACACUUUGGCUUUCAGUGUUGUGGUGGUAACUCUCACUCUUUUACAAGAAACAAACUCUUUUGUUUUCUGGUCUUCUUAGUACAAAUGUUCAAAUUGCCAGAGUGUAUCAGAUCAGCUAACAGAUUACUCUAGCAUGUUCUUACCCUGUGGAGGAGUAAUUCACUAUAGGCAGUCUUCAUUUUCAAUGCCACGAGGUGAUGGUUAAGUCCAGAAGCAGAGGAUGUCUUCAGUAGCACAUUUAAAAU